Long non-coding RNA from Chinchilla lanigera (long-tailed chinchilla), 1327 nucleotides. RefSeq lists it as uncharacterized. The record is from RefSeq and is a predicted model, not a curated record. Lineage: Eukaryota; Metazoa; Chordata; Mammalia; Rodentia; Chinchillidae. The transcript is spliced from 3 exons.
AAAAAAACAAACAAACAAGAAAAAGGAUUUAGUUAGUGCAAACACAAGUCUAAGCAUCUUAUGUACAUCCUCUCUACUUCCCCACAACUCUGCAAAUUACAUUUACUGCUGAACCUUAUUUUGACUGAAGAAAACAAGGCUCAGUGCAGUUGAUUAUGGGAUUAAGUGAAAGGGCCACUAAGCAUAGAAGUUAUAAGUAGCAUUUGAUAUAUUACAUUCCAAUUAUUUAUUUAUUUGUGAUAGACUUCAGGGAGUUGUAAAGAUAGAGGAACAUUUAUGUAUUAGAAGUACAUUGUUUUUGAAACCUAGCUUUGCUCUAUACAAUGAUAUGUGUUUUAAAUAUCUGCCUAAUUUUUCCCUAUACAGUAAUAUCAUGUUUUUAAAAAUAUCCUUAAAUUCAGCAAAUAAUUAAAAGUUACAUCAGUUUAGCUUGCAUUCACCUGGAAGAGGGAGCAACCCCAACAGAUAAGUUUAAUGUACAAAUGUAUAAGUAUUUAUUCAAGUAUGAGAAUUCUGGGAACAAGCAGAUGAGAGCAAGCAUAGUUCAAGGAUGCCAUCAACAACCUGGCCACCUUCCUUCCCUGCUGUCCUUAACAUAUAAGGUAUUGUCUUGCUUGUCACCUUACAGUCAUAAGAUGUUCAUUGCAUCUGUAGAUAUUAUUUUUUAAAGAGGAGAAAAAGAAAGAGAUGAGGACCAUACCCAUGAGCUCUAUGCCUUGAAAACUCCUGUCAUUAUUGUGCAGAUGUGGUUUCCAUGGCACUUCUGUUACCUAGUACUACAUAACAAACUACCCCAAUAAUGGCUUAAGACAACAAAAUGGUGGACAAUUGUACUGUCACCAUAAAAGACCAGUGUCUACCUUGGGAUGUCAGCUGGAGCAGUUUGCCUGGGGCUAAAGCGUCUGAGAUGGCCUCACCCACACAUCUGGCACUCAGCUGCUUCAUUUAAUCUCAGCUAAUGUGAACAGAAGGAAAUAGUUCUAGAAGAUGGCAAAGUUCACCCAACCAAUGAAAUUUUGAAGCAUCUCUCAGAGAACAAGGCCAGAGUCCAUGAUCUCAUGUUGCCUCCCAAGUUUAUCUACUACUGAUUCUAAUGGCUUUGGAGCAGACCUCACAGAGCACUGGGAAGAAACGUAAACAACACUGUGCUUUCUAAGGAUUGUUUCAAUAACCACUCAUGAUAGUAGGUAACAAAUCCUUAUGCAAUACUCUCCUGUAUUAUGGUAAAAUUCCUACACGGAGAAGACAUGUCUGCUUCAUUCACCAGAGAAUGAAAACCUAGUGCCUGAUGUAAAAAUGUUUAAUAAAUAUUCAAGUGCAAGAUGAA